Molecule: ribosomal RNA, 253 nt
Filed under: uncultured bacterium
Lineage: Bacteria
Description: partial 16S ribosomal RNA
Rfam family: Bacterial small subunit ribosomal RNA
Source: RNAcentral
UACGUAGGGUGCAAGCGUUGUCCGGAAUUAUUGGGCGUAAAGAGCUCGUAGGCGGUCUGUCGCGUCGGCUGUGAAACCCCGAGGCUCAACCUCGGGUCUGCAGUCGAUACGGGCAAACUAGAGUAUUGCAGGGGAGACUGGAAUUCCUGGUGUAGCGGUGAAAUGCGCAGAUAUCAGGAGGAACACCGGUGGCGAAGGCGGGUCUCUGGGCAAUAACUGACGCUGAGGAGCGAAAGCGUGGGGAGCGAACAGG